This 1452-nucleotide long non-coding RNA is filed under the name Equus caballus (horse). RNAcentral's name for it is "lncRNA (ENSECAG00000056468.1)". Lineage: Eukaryota; Metazoa; Chordata; Mammalia; Perissodactyla; Equidae. The record is from RNAcentral.
AAUCACCAUUAAUUGUCCUUCUCUAAGCCAUCACAAAUAUUAAGAAAGACCAAAAUUCUUUGAUAAGGGUAUUUCCUCAAUUUUAUCCUUAAAGUGUCUAAAAACUCUGCAUUUUAAUUGCUCUAUAAUGAACAAGCUGAAUCAAAACAAUGUGUUGGCCACAUACAUGCAACGUCUCUACAAGUCCCUGGCCCCCUCUUUCCCAUCCUCCUGCCACCCCUAUGCUUUUCCCAUAUAGAAAUUCCAGAGCUACACUAGCUGAAAGUUGAGUUCCAACAUUUUGCUCAAUAGAGAGAACCAAAAGCAGGACCAAAAUGGCUCUUCAGAACCCAGAUGUAAGACCUAAGAUUUGCAGUGAGAUUGGUCUUGAGAGUCAAGGACCAGGAGUCGAUGAGAUGAUAACAAAGACAAGGUGUUCCAAGAUAAUGAAUACUUCCAUAGCAACAAAAGUCUGACAAUAAACUGUUACCUUGAUUUUCACAUUUUCAAAGAAAAAUCCUUCAAUGGCAAUCAAACCAGAAGUCUCAGCAAUGGACACGCAAUAAUGGCUACAAGAAUUAUUCUAAGGUUUUUGGCCUGAGAAACUAGAAGAAUGGAGCUGCCAUUUACUAUGAAAGAGAAGGCUGAGAUUGAACAGAUCUAAGGGAGAAAGUCAAGACUGUGUUUAUAGCGAUGUUGUCUUCGACAUGCCUACUAGACAUCUCGAUGGAAGUGUCAGGUAAGCACCUAGAUUUACAAGUCUGAAGUCCAGGGGAGAGAGCUCGACUGAAGAUAAAAAUUUGGGAGUCAUCCAAAAGACCAUAGAUAGUACUUAAGCCACGGAAAUGGAGGAGGUCACUUAGGGAGUGAAUGGAGAAGAAGAAAAGUGAUCUGACAAUGGAAAAAUGGAAGAGGAAAAGAGUUGGAAAAUGACGAGGAUCCACCACAGGAUACUAAGAAGGGGCAGCCGAUGAGGUAGAGAAAAUGAUGUCCAACUGUGUCGAAAGCUUCUGAUAGAUCGAGAUAGAUGAGGACUCAAAUAUACCGUUGGAUUUAGCAAUGGAGAGGUGGUUUCUGACUUUGAUUGGAACAACUUUAAGUAGAGUGAUGGGGUUGAAAGCCUGACUAGAGAGAUUCAUGAGAGAAUGGAAGGAGGGGAAGUGGACACUGAAAAGUCGAUCUACUUUUCUGAGAAAUUUUGCUGUCAAGGGAAGCAGAGAAAUGGUGGAAGAUGGUGGGAGAUAUGGGAUCAAGGGAGCUCUUUUUUUAGAUGAGAAAUAUUACAGCAUAUUUAUAAGAUAAUGUGAAUGAUCAAGUAGAUCAAUAAAAAUUAAUGAUUGAAGAGAGAGAGGAAGAAUUGCUGGAGUAAUGCCCUUGGGAAGGUGAGAAGACAUGGAAAGACCAGAAAGAUGUGGUGAAAUCACUGGUGAGCCCUUGAGCUUAGUAGAUAUAGAUAUAAGGACAGAGUCUGUU